AGCCCCUUUGAAGCAUUUCCUUUGCUCACUCCAAGUGAUUCUGUCUCUCCACACACACUUAUUUACAACUGCUCUUUUCCAGUCCCUCUGUGCUAGUUACUCCCUCUGCUUUUCCCUGUCAUAUUAAUAAGAUGUUUUCCCGGUGGACUCGGUUGCGGAAGUCCCCCAAACCCACUCAAGGGAGUCGACAUGACCUGGUGAAGGUCUGCGAUGAGCUCACUCCAGAUGAAUAUCAUGCACUAUCUUAAGAUACUAUUCAAGUAGCUCAGUUCCUGGUUACAGGCAAGAAAUAUGCUGAUGCCACAACCCUUCAAAUUAAUCGCGUCCAGCGCUUCUUGAUAUCUGUCAGUCUCUGUACAUACUGAACCUAUUCUCUAAUCGACUUACAUGUAUGAAGGUACUGUACAUUUAUUGGUGCCGAGCCCCAUAUUCACCUGGCUACAGGGUCCGCACCAAGCUCAGGGUCCGCACCAAGCUCCCGCUGCAUUUUCCCAUUGGAGAGUAAUAAGAUUAAGAGCCAGCUGCCCAUCUUGAGUUUCGCUUUUCAAUGUUCGCUUUAAGGGACCAUUUUUAUAAGCUCAAACUCAACGAAAGGGUGGCGAGUUGAGCGUUGUUGCCCAGUGGGGUUACUUGACCAGUCAUAAACCAACUUUACAUUGCUAUGCUCAAAUCCGUUGUCGACUUGAUCGGCUCGAAGUGAACACAUGCAUUCGAAGUAUGGGUGGGGCUAAGGAUACUGACGCUUGCGAGACGGGUUGGAGGUCACUGAACAAGGCACAUAGUGGUCAUCAUAGAUUUUUA
Molecule: small RNA, 801 nt
Filed under: Histoplasma ohiense
Lineage: Eukaryota; Fungi; Ascomycota; Eurotiomycetes; Onygenales; Ajellomycetaceae
Description: hypothetical lncRNA
Source: RNAcentral